This 303-nucleotide ribosomal RNA is filed under the name Vibrio parahaemolyticus. RNAcentral's name for it is "partial 16S ribosomal RNA". It matches the Rfam family "Bacterial small subunit ribosomal RNA", at positions 1 to 290 of the family's 1533-position model. The record is from RNAcentral. Lineage: Bacteria; Pseudomonadati; Pseudomonadota; Gammaproteobacteria; Vibrionales; Vibrionaceae.
AAAUUGAAGAGUUUGAUCAUGGCUCAGAUUGAACGCUGGCGGCAGGCCUAACACAUGCAAGUCGAGCGGAAACGAGUUAUCAGAACCUUCGGGGGACGAUAACGGCGUCGAGCGGCGGACGGGUGAGUAAUGCCUAGGAAAUUGCCCUGAUGUGGGGGAUAACCAUUGGAAACGAUGGCUAAUACCGCAUGAUGCCUACGGGCCAAAGAGGGGGACCUUCGGGCCUCUCGCGUCAGGAUAUGCCUAGGUGGGAUUAGCUAGUUGGUGAGGUAAGGGCUCACCAAGGCGACGAUCCCUAGCUGG